RNAcentral lists this ribosomal RNA (234 nucleotides) under uncultured Candidatus Saccharibacteria bacterium. RNAcentral's name for it is "partial 16S ribosomal RNA". It matches the Rfam family "Bacterial small subunit ribosomal RNA", at positions 584 to 818 of the family's 1533-position model. The record is from RNAcentral. Lineage: Bacteria; Candidatus Saccharimonadota.
UUAGCGUGUAGUGAAUUUCAGGGCUCAACCCUGAAACUGUUACACGAACUGCUUGACUAGAGUAUAUGAGGGGAAGCUGGAAUUCCUGGUGUAGGAGUGGAAUCCGUAGAUAUCAGGAGGAACACCAAUGGCGUAGGCAGGCUUCUGGCAUAUUACUGACGCUAAGGCACGAAAGCGUGGGGAGCGAACGGGAUUAGAUACCCCGGUAGUCCACGCCGUAAACGAUGGAUGCUA